UGAGAGACUGUGACGGUAGCUUGUUGGA
This 28-nucleotide small RNA is filed under the name Bombyx mori (domestic silkworm). RNAcentral's name for it is "piRNA piR-bmo-1613226". Lineage: Eukaryota; Metazoa; Arthropoda; Insecta; Lepidoptera; Bombycidae. The record is from RNAcentral.